This 375-nucleotide unclassified non-coding RNA is filed under the name uncultured fungus. RNAcentral's name for it is "partial contains small subunit ribosomal RNA, internal transcribed spacer 1, and 5.8S ribosomal RNA". The stretch from base 1 to 73 matches the Rfam family "Eukaryotic small subunit ribosomal RNA", at positions 1759 to 1831 of the family's 1831-position model. The record is from RNAcentral. Lineage: Eukaryota; Fungi.
ACAAACUUGGUCAUUUAGAGGAAGUAAAAGUUGUAACAAAGUUUUCAUAGGUGAACCUGCGAAAGGAUCAUUACUGAAGAAAUGAUAGAGUUAAGCUGACUCCUCUGGAGUAUAUGCUUGCACUAUCACUUUUUCUAUUCUCCCUUGUGAACCUUUUGUAGACUUUUUAUGAUAUUUGGCUUCUUGACCGGGAGUUUUAUUGGAGACUUAUAUUUUUUUUGAGGUGCUUGGCUCUACCCUUAUCAUAUCAGUCUAUGAUCUUAUAUCUACUUUUCAGUUUAUAAAUGUCUCUUUGUUGGUGUUUUAAUAUCAAUAAAUUAUUAUACAACUUUCAGCAACAGAUCUCUUAGCUCUUGCAUCGAUGAAGAACGCAGC